Molecule: long non-coding RNA, 824 nt
Organism: Hipposideros armiger (great roundleaf bat)
Lineage: Eukaryota; Metazoa; Chordata; Mammalia; Chiroptera; Hipposideridae
Exons: 3
Source: RefSeq, a predicted model, not a curated record
CCUCGGCGCCCGCCGCGCCGCGUGCCCUGCUCGGCUGCCCGCGCUGCCAGCGGCUGCUCCACCGGCCCGUGACCCUGCCGAGCGGGCUCACGGUGUGCAGGCGGCGCUUGGAGCUGGGGCCGGCGCGUCCGCAGGCGCGGCGCGCCCACGUGGUGCUGAGCCGCCUGCUGGAGAAGUGCUUCCCGGGCGAGGGCCGCGCGCGCAGGCUGGCCGGCCGGGCGCGGUGUCUGCAGCGCCAGCAGCAGCCCGAGGCCGCGCUGCCCAGGUGUCACCAGGCCCUGGAUCUGGGAUCUCACACAGCCUUCCUGAGCAGCCCUGUGAGUCCAAGACUACCUACCUGUCACGCCAUCUCAGCUGUUGAGGAGUGGGAUAACGAAGUGUUUUUACAUCUCCUACAGGAAAAUAAGUGAAGACAAAAUCAAGAUGCUUUAUUCCAAAGAGAUAAGUAAAGCUGAAGGCUUUUUAUUGUUAUCAGAAUGGUACUACAUGAAGUACUAAGGGACUUCUUCAGAUUAAAGGGAAUGGUCCAGAUGAAAACAUGGACCUAAAGGAAAGAUGAAGACUAUUAGAAAGGGUAAAUAUAUAUGAAUAAAUAGAAGAAAAUAUUGAUCAUUUCAAUUGACAGUAACAAUAUUUUGUGGUAUUUGUAACAUAUGUAAAAGUAAGCCAUGUAGCAAUAGCACAAAGCCAGGAUGAGUAAAUAAAGUUAAAUUGUUGUGUGGCCUGUGCAUGUGGUAAAAAUAAUUGAAAGUAUACUGAUAAAUAAAGCUUGCAUAUUGUAAUUUCUCGGUAGCCACUGAAAGGACAAUAAAAGAAGAUAAAAU